GCCGUUAGCUUAGUUGGUAGAGCGCUUCCAUGGCAUGGAAGAGGUCAGCGGUUCGAA
Molecule: transfer RNA, 57 nt
Filed under: candidate division WWE3 bacterium RIFOXYB2_FULL_41_6
Lineage: Bacteria; candidate division WWE3
Description: tRNA-Ala
Rfam family: tRNA
About the family: Transfer RNA (tRNA) molecules are approximately 80 nucleotides in length.
Source: RNAcentral